UCUAGUCACGAUUCUAAUAGCACUAUACCGCACAAUCAUAUCUUUCUAAGCAGCUUCUGACAAUACUCUUUCUACGUCUGUCAUCUCAGAUUAUUCUUGCUUCAACUUGCAACACCAUCGGAUUAAUUCUGAACAUUCUCGAUAUACACGUCUUGAUCUAUUCUACACGAUAGUAGGAUAAUAUCUCAGUCAUCGGAUUAAAAGAACUAGCUAAUUCCAAAUAGUAUAGGAACCGCGAACAUCUACCCUUCGCAUAUCCGUAUAUAGUAAACAUGAAUAUAUACAGAUAUCCACAUAACAAUAUAUACACAUUGGAUCAGUCGGCACAUAACCACAUAGUCAAUAAACAAUCAAUACAUAUUCCAGUGCACAUAUAAUAUAAUGCUAUUAACUAUCAAAUAUUUAUUAAUCAAUAAACACCGCUAAUUUUUAACAAAAUUUCGGCAGCAUCUCCUCUAUUUAUCGGACUACCCACCUGUUUACAAUACCAACAACCAACCAAUACUAUUGCUAACACGUGAAUUAUUAAUAUAAAAGGAUGUCUUGACUUAGUAACACAUAAGAAAAUCUUUUAGCACAAUUGCUAAUUCACUAUACACAAAAGACGUUUAAUAUAAAUAUGCAAGGUCAACUGAGCCAAUAAAUUUAAUAAUCAAUCAUAUGCAAUCUACCUCAUACUAUGCACUAACAAAGAAAGAAAAUUUGAGCAAAUAUUUCAAACAGCCUUCACUCUAUGAUUUUUAAUAAAUUGAAAAUUUAUCACUUUAAUAUGAAAUUUUUAUGAGACAUUCCUAAACAUUAUUCCAAUCUACUACAAAACUUUCAGAAGCAAAUUCAAUGUGUUACGGAUUAAAACAGGGCCUGUAAGUCAGGACCUGAAUCUGUCCUGCAGAACCAGCCCCACGCUAAGAAUUUUAAUAUAUAGAAAAAUUGGUCCAUUUGUAUAAAAUUUUGAUGACACAUUCCAGGCCCGAACAUCUAACUCCAGUAAAAUUUUCAGAAGCAAAUUACAAUUACAAGGUAGCAUAACAGGGCCUGGAACAGGACACAUAAAUCUGCCCAGAAUUUUCUGCGCAUACCAUACUAAAACGGUCAUAUCUCCUAACUCGCUAAUCGAAUCGAUUCGAUUCUUUCGCGCACAUAAACUAGACUCUGAGGAGCACAUGAAUCUAAUAAAAUCACAGCUUAGGCAUGAUGUUAAGCUAUUCAAAACAGAGAUCCAAACAGGGGCUGUGCUGCUGCGAAAACUUGACUUCAAGUGACUCGAUAAUUUGUAAACAAUUUCAUAUCAACCACAACCCACAUGUAUACACUGAUUUGAACUCAAAUGAAAUUAGCUACUUAAUAAUCCAAAAAUCAAUUCAAUCCAUAUAAACAAAACACCACAUAUGUAUAUACAACUGAUUAAUAAACCAAAAUCAAGCAUAUACCCCACUGUAGUUCGAAUCAACAGAUUCUAGGAUGGAGUUGGUCGUUGGAGACGGCAAAACGGCGGCGGUGUACCGUGGCAGCAGAGACGGAGCAACAGGGAGAGCAGUGGCGGCGAGAAUGAACAGUGGGAACGGAAAACGACGUUGGAAAUAGAGUGGAGGUGAAAGGAUACAUGCUACGAGGGGUUAAUUUGUCAAAGGAAGAAAGCGAUGUGAGAUUGAAAACCAUAAACGAGGGUUGGGGUUUUGAAAUUAGGGACUAUAAAAGGAAGAGCAGCAUUCGGGGGAAAAGGUACGUGGCGAGAUGAAAGAGGAAGUGUGCCGUGCGUGGCACAUCACCAAGUUUCCAUCUGUUCCCCUAAACUGAUUAAUCAAUUGUCUUACACCCGCUCUUAAUUGAUUUACAGAGAUAACUCGUAGUAAAAUUUCACCCAAAAAUUACCAAAAUAUUAUUAUAAUUCCCCGAAUAUUAUAAAACUAAUAAAAUAAAAGUUUCGGAAUUUACAGAGCAGUUUUGAAAUUUAUACGAAAUUUUUAAGUUAACUGCGUUCAGAAAAUAUUUCAAAAUAGCGCUUUCAUGAGGAUGAUAUAUUUAAAAUUUUAAAAACUCCUAAAGAUAUUUUUAUCAUUUUCAAGUAAUUAAAAGAAUUUUUCAAAUUACUUUUGUAUUUUUAGAAAUUCAUUUUGCUAUAAUCCAUUUUUAAGAGAAUCAUUGUUUAUAAAAAACACAGCAGUUAGUAACACAUAUACGCACAAGCAUGAAUCACAUUCAGAUAAUAAAGUUAAAUCAUUGAACAAGUAGUUCACAUAUUUAACAUGGUAUUCAAUUCAAAACAGACAACAAAAAUUUUGAUAACUUAAGGUACCGGAAUAAUAAUUUAAACAAAUACUUUUAAAAUUUAUCAAACUAAAAUAAAAUAUUAAAUUUUAUUCCGCAUUUUCUGAAGGAUGACAAAUAAACUAACAAAAUAAAUUUUGAAAAAUCCGGGUCGUCACAAUCUACCCCCCUUAAAAGGAUUCCGUCCUCGGAAUCAGCGAAAAGCAAACUAGAGCGUACGAUCACUGUAAUCCGUAAUACUCUUUCUUUCUUAUAUAAAAUUUUUGUUGAUCGACCCGCAUUGUCAUCCGUUU
RNAcentral lists this long non-coding RNA (2561 nucleotides) under Daucus carota (carrot). RNAcentral's name for it is "long non-coding RNA (DCAR_LNC000719)". The record is from RNAcentral. Lineage: Eukaryota; Viridiplantae; Streptophyta; Magnoliopsida; Apiales; Apiaceae.